ACGUAUCCAGAGUGCAGCGAGAGAACUAGCUCAAUGACCUGCCGGCAACCAGUCUUAUCAUCUCCCAAAGAAUGAGGACACGGUGCCCCUUCUAGCCCUGAAGAACUUCGGGGGAAGAUAACAG
RNAcentral lists this non-coding RNA (124 nucleotides) under Candidatus Saccharimonadota. RNAcentral describes it as "Candidatus Saccharibacteria SAM-I sequence". It matches the Rfam family "SAM riboswitch aptamer (S box leader)". From Rfam's summary of the family: The SAM riboswitch is found upstream of a number of genes which code for proteins involved in methionine or cysteine biosynthesis in Gram-positive bacteria. The SAM riboswitch acts at the level of transcription termination control. The predicted structure consists of a complex stem-loop region followed by a single stem loop terminator region. The record is from RNAcentral.